UUUUUAUUUGUUUCUGUGGACUCUGAGGACAAAGGUCAGGACCUCUCUAUGAAGGUGGCUUGCAGCUGACACUAAACCACGUCCAUGUUUGGUUCUGCCCUUCUCUAGGUCAUAGGAGCACCCAUGACAACACAGGAGUGGGUUCACUAGGUGGCCAGAGCCCUCCUGCACAGCCACAAUAUUCCGCAAGGGCAAAGACCACCUCUGUCACCUCGUAUAACAUUCGCUUGCUUCCUGGAGCCAUUUGCUUGUGCUCCAUGGUAACCUCAGCAGAGGCUCCUGGAGGUGACAGUUCUGGGAUGCAAAGAAGGGCAAAUGAAGCAGGGCAGCUAUUUGUCCAUGUGAGUAUUUGGACUUCCUUGACACACAUAAGAGCAAUUUCCUUCCUUUUUACUUUGAAUCCUAAGAAAAUGCCUCAAUUAAAAAAAAAAAUUAAUCUUGGAAAGAGAGGAUGUGAAUUAACUCACUUUCCAUGACCUGAACCACUUAGAGCUUCCAACAAAGCUUUGGGGGGAAAUCUGUAUUUGAUCAAUGUUGAAACAAUCACUCUGAUACAGAAAUGCAUGCAAAAAGAGCAAUUUCUGACCAGCUUUUAUUUUGCAUAUUCUAUUCCUUUUGACAGUGAUGACAAAUGGAAUAAGAUUUUUGUUCACUACAAGAAGCUCAGUAGCAUGUACCAGGGCAAUUAACUUGGAAAUCUGUGAAUAAGCAUGAUUCAGG
This 720-nucleotide long non-coding RNA is filed under the name Macaca mulatta (Rhesus monkey). RNAcentral describes it as "lncRNA (ENSMMUG00000058882.1)". The record is from RNAcentral. Lineage: Eukaryota; Metazoa; Chordata; Mammalia; Primates; Cercopithecidae.